This 461-nucleotide ribosomal RNA is filed under the name uncultured bacterium. RNAcentral describes it as "partial 16S ribosomal RNA". It matches the Rfam family "Bacterial small subunit ribosomal RNA", at positions 338 to 795 of the family's 1533-position model. The record is from RNAcentral.
CCUACGGGUGGCAGCAGUGAGGAAUAUUGGUCAAUGGGCGCAAGCCUGAACCAGCAAAGUCGCGUGAGGGAUGACGGUCCUAUGGAUUGUAAACCUCUUUUGUCGGGGAGCAAGGCCCGCCACGUGUGGCGGGAAGGAGAGUACCCGAAGAAAAAGCAUCGGCUAACUCCGUGCCAGCAGCCGCGGUAAUACGGAGGAUGCUAGCGUUAUCCGGAUGUAUUGGGUUUAAUGGGUGCGUAGGCGGUUCGAUAAGUUAGAGGUGAAAUCCCGGGGCUCGACUCCGGCACUGCCUCGGAUACUGUCGGGCUAGAGUGUAGUUGCGGUAGGCGGAAUGUAUGGUGUAGCGGUGAAAUGCAGAGAGAUCAUACAGAACACCGAUUGCGAAGGCAGCUUACCAAACUGCGACUGACGUUGAGGCACGAAAGCGUGGGGAGCAAACAGGAUUAGAUACCCGAGUAGUC